GUAGGUGGCAAGCGUUGUCCGGAAUUAUUGGGCGUAAAGCGCGCGCAGGCGGUUCUUUAAGUCUGAUGUGAAAGCCCACGGCUCAACCGUGGAGGGUCAUUUGGAAACUGGAGAACUUGAGUACAGAAGAGGAAAGCGGAAUUCCACGUGUAGCGGUGAAAUGCGUAGAGAUGUGGAGGAACACCAGUGGCGAAGGCGGCUUUCUGGUCUGUAACUGACGCUGAGGCGCGAAAGCGUGGGGAGCAAACAGGAUUAGAUACCCGUGGUAGUCCACGCCGUAAACGAUGAGUGCUAAGUGUUAGGGGGGUUUUACCCGCCCCCGUUAGUGCUGCAGCUAAACGCAUUAAGCACUCCGCCUGGGGAGUACGGCCGCAAGGCUG
RNAcentral lists this ribosomal RNA (380 nucleotides) under uncultured organism. RNAcentral describes it as "partial 16S ribosomal RNA". It matches the Rfam family "Bacterial small subunit ribosomal RNA", at positions 527 to 896 of the family's 1533-position model. The record is from RNAcentral.